CUCACCUGGAGAUCUUGUGAAAAUGCAGACUCUGAUUCAGCGGAUCUUCUGGGGCAUGGGAGAGUCUGCAUUUCUAAUAAGAUCCCAAGUGAUGCCCA
RNAcentral lists this microRNA precursor (98 nucleotides) under Bos taurus (domestic cattle). RNAcentral's name for it is "mir-544 microRNA precursor family". It matches the Rfam family "mir-544 microRNA precursor family". The record is from Rfam by way of RNAcentral. RNAcentral also lists the same sequence under 1 other name. Lineage: Eukaryota; Metazoa; Chordata; Mammalia; Artiodactyla; Bovidae.